AUGCAGACUGAGGACAGGACCCCACCUCACACAGGGCAGCCAGGAUUUUGCAGGAGGAAGCUUUGCGGGCCCCGAGGGGGCUCUAAAGAACAUCCUCUGGUCCGUGCCUCUCUCACAAAGCCCAGGAAGCCUGAGGCCACCCGGGGCCUGACGGCUGCCCCCACCUCUGUCUUCAGGAAACAGGGAAUCAGAACAAACGCUCAGUGCGUGUCUCCCUUCAUACCUCCAAGUCAGAGCCUGAAGACCAUGCCACCCACCUGUGCCCACCUCAGGGGAAGGGCGCCAGGACUCUCCUCUGCAUCUGCAGCUAACGAGCAAAGUUGUCCUGAAAAAAUGGGCCGUCAGAUGAAUGCUAGAACUACGUGUGUGUCCAUGUGUGCUCACGUCUGUAUGACCACACAUGUGUGGUCAUUUGCGUGCACGUGUGGAUGUGCUCACCUGCGUACAUACGUGAGUGUGCAUUCGUGCAUUCACUGCUCCCACCUGAGACCAACCCCACCCCGGGAUGGAUGCCUUCUCUUUCUCCCAUCGUCCUGGACCCCAACAGAGGGACCAGCAGCUGGCCCUUAUUUAGGGGAAAGUAGAGUUUAGGGUGUCAUGCUGGUUUAGCUGCUGGGUGGAGGUUUCACCCCCUGCCCUGGAUCAUUCUGGAAUUGCCCUAGGACCACCUGGCAGUCCUCUCGGCUGUGCCCAGGUUUCCCCGCACAGGCCCCAACCUCCCAGUGCAGGGAUGCUGUGGGCUGUGGUUUCCUUUGAAUGCUGCAGGGCCUUGAAUCGUUUCCAUGGGUUCUUUAACUAGACGGGGAUGUUCAGAUUUUGAUGCAUCUCUCGGGGGCAGAAUUUCAGGGUGGGACUUGCCCCAUAUGCGUCUCACUGCCUCCGACGCUGGCCAGUUCCUGUUCUCAGACCCAGGAACCCAGCCCAUGGGGGACCUGCGGGCUUUUGGUCAUGAAGUCACGUGGUAGGCGUGCGCCUGGGGGGUCUUCCCGUGGCGUGGAGACCCCGCACCCCCGUCCACUGUGGCCCCUGACCGCUGGGACAGUCCCUGGGCCCUUUGUCCAGUUCUGACUCCAGCUACCUCCUGGGCUUCUGUGUUAGUUCAAUCCGUGUUUUGGUUUUUUUUUUUCUCAUGAGUGUGUGUCUUGUCUCAUUAAAAAACUUGUAUACUUCUAUACAUUAUUUUAAAAGAUUCUGAAAUUUACAUCUGUAGCCUCCUGCCCCCCAAACCUCUACUUCCAACUAUUUUCGAGCACAUCCACCAAUGGCCUCCUGCCCGGUCCUAGGUGACUCAGAAUGUGCAAAAAGCCACAGGUCCCCAUUUCAGUGAUGCUGCCCUCUCGGGGCCUCAGGCCUCAGAGCCUUGCUGUCACGCGGCCUCCUCAGUGUCUCCUCUCAAUCCCACAGUCUUCCUCAUGGCUGGACCCUGCUGCCCACUGCAGCCCAGCUGGCCUCUCGGUCUCCUGUCACUCCCGCCCCCUCCUGAGCUGUUCAUCCACCUCUCCCAGCACUGUCAAGUCCCUGCUGCCCCACAGGGGGGCUUGGCCCUAUCCAGGCAGAGGCCUCAUUCCCGGGUGCGCUGAGCUGGCCCCGCAGGCCCAGGGCAGGUGUCUCCCCAGUUCCGGAGCCUAUCCCUUUCCUGGGGCCCUGGAGAAGCCCCUGCCUGCAGCUUGAGGCAUCACAGGCUGUCCACUCAGCGUGAUCACGGGACCUCUUCACAAGCUGCAGGGUCUGAUCCCCAAAGAGAGCGAAAGCUCUUAGAAGACAGGCCCGGUGUCACAUUCUUUUCAGAUGGACGUUGUGCUGUUGCCCCGCCCCACUGUUCACAGGACUCCCCUUGGUCAGCCCUGCCCGCUGGAGGGGAGACCACACACAUGUCAGCCGAGGUUCCUCGUGGGCUCUGCGGGGGAGAUCACAGAAGCCCGUCCCACCUCGGCCACUUUUCCUAACGGCUGUGGAAGAGGUGGGUCCAGGCACAACCGCUGCGAAGAGCUGCUGCGGAGUUUCGGGGCCAGCCCCUCCCAGCCGGCCUGGUCCCCUCAGCAGGGACGUGGGGCCCCUGACGGUCACUCCCGCCACCUUGGACUACUCUGUUCGGCUCCGUGUCGUGUCUGAAUGAGCACACACCCGGACGGGGUGGAAGGCUGGAUGAGAUGCCCGCCCCUCGCCGGCAGCUCUGGGAGCUUCUGGGCCCGGCCACGACGGCAAGGGGACGAUGGUGACCCGAGGCCGGAGAGAACCAGCACCCUCCCAGCGGCCUGGCCCC
This 2263-nucleotide long non-coding RNA is filed under the name Canis lupus familiaris (dog). Its description in RNAcentral is "lncRNA (ENSCAFG00040002867.1)". Lineage: Eukaryota; Metazoa; Chordata; Mammalia; Carnivora; Canidae. The record is from RNAcentral.